CGGAGGAUCCAAGCGUUAUCCGGAAUCAUUGGGUUUAAAGGGUCCGUAGGCGGUUUUGUAAGUCAGUGGUGAAAGCCCAUCGCUCAACGGUGGAACGGCCAUUGAAACUGCAAGACUUGAAUUAUUAGGAAGUAACUAGAAUAUGUAGUGUAGCGGUGAAAUGCUUAGAGAUUACAUGGAAUACCAAUUGCGAAGGCAGGUUACUACUAAUGGAUUGACGCUGAUGGACGAAAGCGUGGGUAGCGAACAGGAUUAGAUACCCUGGUAGUCCACGCCGUAAACGAUGGAUACUAGCUGUUCGGAGCAAUCUGGGUGGCUAAGCGAAAGUGAUAAGUAUCCCACCUGGGGAGUACGUUCGCAAGAAUG
This 366-nucleotide ribosomal RNA is filed under the name uncultured organism. RNAcentral's name for it is "bacterial SSU rRNA". It matches the Rfam family "Bacterial small subunit ribosomal RNA", at positions 526 to 896 of the family's 1533-position model. The record is from RNAcentral.